RNAcentral lists this ribosomal RNA (253 nucleotides) under uncultured bacterium. RNAcentral describes it as "partial 16S ribosomal RNA". It matches the Rfam family "Bacterial small subunit ribosomal RNA", at positions 524 to 776 of the family's 1533-position model. The record is from RNAcentral.
UACGUAGGGCGCAAGCGUUGUCCGGAAUUAUUGGGCGUAAAGAGCUCGUAGGCGGUCUGUCGCGUCUGCUGUGAAAACCCGAGGCUCAACCUCGGGCCUGCAGUGGGUACGGGCAGACUAGAGUGCGGUAGGGGAGAAUGGAAUUCCUGGUGUAGCGGUGGAAUGCGCAGAUAUCAGGAGGAACACCGAUGGCGAAGGCAGGUCUCUGGGCCACUACUGACGCUGAGAAGCGAAAGCAUGGGGAGCGAACAGG